This 455-nucleotide ribosomal RNA is filed under the name uncultured bacterium. RNAcentral's name for it is "bacterial SSU rRNA". It matches the Rfam family "Bacterial small subunit ribosomal RNA", at positions 1074 to 1527 of the family's 1533-position model. The record is from RNAcentral.
GUCUGGGGUAGUCGCAACGAGCGCAACCCUUGUCCUAUGUUGCCAGCGGAUAAUGCCGGGGACUCGUAGGAGACUGCCGGGGUCAACUCGGAGGAAGGUGGGGAUGACGUCAAAUCAUCAUGCCCCUUACGUCUAGGGCUGCAAACAUGCUACAAUGGCCGGUACAGAGGGCUGCUAUUCCGCGAGGAUGAGCGAAUCCCAAAAAGCCGGUCUCAGUUCGGAUCGAAGUCUGCAACUCGACUUCGUGAAGUCGGAGUCGCUAGUAAUCCCGGAUCAGCAACGCCGGGGUGAAUACGUUCCCGGGCCUUGUACACACCGCCCGUCACACCACGAAAGUCGGCAACACCCGAAGCCAGUGGCCCAACCCGCAAGGGGGGGAGCUGUCGAAGGUGGGGUCGGCGAUUGGGGUGAAGUCGUAACAAGGUAGCCGUACCGGAAGGUGCGGCUGGAUCACC